UCGGCGCUGGGGCGGCGGGUCCGGGCCGCCACGGCCUCGGGCGCCGUGCCGAGCAUCAUCGCGACGAUCUCGUGCGUCGAGGCCGUGC
This 88-nucleotide transfer RNA is filed under the name Microbispora rosea subsp. rosea. RNAcentral describes it as "tRNA-Pro". The record is from RNAcentral. Lineage: Bacteria; Bacillati; Actinomycetota; Actinomycetes; Streptosporangiales; Streptosporangiaceae.